GGAGAGGUACCGAAGUUGGUCAUAACGGCGCUGUUUCGAAAACAGUUGGUCCUUUUUAGGGGCACGUGGGUUCGAAUCCCACCCUCUCCG
RNAcentral lists this transfer RNA (90 nucleotides) under Candidatus Nealsoniibacteriota bacterium. RNAcentral's name for it is "Candidatus Nealsonbacteria bacterium tRNA-Ser". It matches the Rfam family "tRNA". From Rfam's summary of the family: Transfer RNA (tRNA) molecules are approximately 80 nucleotides in length. Their secondary structure includes four short double-helical elements and three loops (D, anti-codon, and T loops). The record is from RNAcentral. Lineage: Bacteria; Candidatus Nealsoniibacteriota.